RNAcentral lists this ribosomal RNA (178 nucleotides) under Canis lupus (wolf). RNAcentral's name for it is "partial small subunit ribosomal RNA". Lineage: Eukaryota; Metazoa; Chordata; Mammalia; Carnivora; Canidae. The record is from RNAcentral.
UAGAUAAUUUUACAACAAAAUAAUUCGCCAGAGGACUACUAGCAAUAGCUUAAAACUCAAAGGACUUGGCGGUGCUUUAUAUCCCUCUAGAGGAGCCUGUUCUAUAAUCGAUAAACCCCGAUAAACCUCACCACCUUUCGCUAAUUCAGUCUAUAUACCGCCAUCUUCAGCAAACAAA